Molecule: ribosomal RNA, 446 nt
Filed under: uncultured bacterium
Lineage: Bacteria
Description: partial 16S ribosomal RNA
Rfam family: Bacterial small subunit ribosomal RNA
Source: RNAcentral
AACGAACGCUGGCGGCAGGCUUAACACAUGCAAGUCGAGCGCCCCGAAAGGGGAGCGGCAGACGGGUGAGUAACGCGUGGGAAUGUGCCCUUUGGUCUGGAAUAACUCAGGGAAACUUGAGCUAAUACCGGAUAAGCCCUUCGGGGAAAGAUUUAUUGCCAUUGGAGCAGCCCGCGUCAGAUUAGCUAGUUGGUGAGGUAAAAGCUCACCAAGGCGAUGAUCUGUAGCUGGUCUGAGAGGACGACCAGCCACACUGGGACUGAGACACGGCCCAGACUCCUACGGGAGGCAGCAGUGGGGAAUAUUGGACAAUGGGGGCAACCCUGAUCCAGCCAUGCCGCGUGAGUGAUGAAGGCCUUAGGGUUGUAAAGCUCUUUUACUCGGGAAGAUAAUGACUGUACCGAGAGAAUAAGCCCCGGCUAACUUCGUGCCAGCCGCCGCAGUAA